AAUGCAUUAUCAUUACAUGAAAAGUGACGAUGAGCAAAGAUAAAGAGGCAAUAAGUAGCAUUAUCUAAAAUUUUUAAUCACUUCCUAAAGCAUUGGAGCCACCAGAAUUCCAGAAAAGUCAACAGAGCGUCGGAAAAAGGAAUAGGGGGUUUGGAUAAGAUUCCGUUAGAACUAAGGACCAACAGCACACAAAUGCUCUUAUAUUUGCCGGUACACAUCAUUAAGCAUUCAGCCAAAACUAAGAACACCAAAUGUGAUCUUUCUAAUUUAACUCUACAAUACAUAGUUCGCAAGGACCAGGAAUUUUACACAAAUUAAAGACUGGUCAUUGUUGAUCUGCCGCAGCUGCCAGCGGCUGGAAUGCCUUGAGCGGAUUUGUGAUGACACCAUCAAUAAGCCCAUAGUCUCUGGCUUCUUUUGCGCUCAUGAAGUAGUCACGGUCUGUGUCCUGGUUGAUCUUCUCAAGACUUUGACCAGUGUGGUAGGCGAGAUACCCAUUUAGGUUUGCCUUAUGAUGCAGCAUUUCAUUUGCCUGAGAAUUAUGUCUACGAGUUAGGGCCAUCUCAAAAGGAAAAUAGCAGUUUCAAUUACAAGAGAAAAAAUACACAUAUAUAAUUAUAUAUUGAGAACCCAUCACCCAUGAGUCUCAUACCAUUGAAAAAGUGUGUGUGUAAUUUAUAUCAGUUCUUUCAUAAAAUAAAAUAAAAUAAGCAGAACAUUACAUCUAUGUUUGAAAUUUCUUAAUAUGCAUCAUUAGCAAUUCAUUAGGAACUGUAUGCAGAAAGUUUAUUCCCCAUCCAGAGACAAGUGAAUUUAGAUCAAAAGUACAAUUCGUUAUCAAAGAGAUACCAGAAUUGAUCACGAGCACGUAGAAAAUAGAGUGAAAUCAGGUAGUAUACCUGAAUAUCUAUGUCAGAUUGCCCACCUUGAGCUCCACCAAGAGGCUGAUGGAUCAUUAUCCUUGAGUUUGGCAAGCUGUAUCUUUUCCCCCUAGGAACAACCACCAUAGGUUAAAACUUUUAACCAACAAAUCAAAGCAGCUUUUUUCACCUUUUGUCCCAGCACUAAGCAGGAAAGCUCCCAUACUGUUAAAAGCACACACAUUAGUAAGUGUACAUAUAAAGUGCACCAUGCAACAAGUUAGUAGUAUUCUCAGGAACAGUGUUCCCUUUGCCUACGUGUUCACUGUUGAAAGAUUAAUUUUAAAAGUAAUUACAUUCUUACACUAGAAAAAUGUCAGCUCUUCUCUCAGAUAGAAAGUAAUGACUGGCAAUAGUUAAAUAGAGUGAUAAUAGUGCUACAACCAAUCCUCAGCAUGGAACAGGGAUCCCAACUUAAUAAAAUUUCUGGAUUUUAUUAAGGGACAUAUCCAUCUAAACAGGGUUUCUUAUAUGUUUCAAAUUGCACGUCCAUCACAGAAUCCCUAAUUAACAAGCAUGAAAGGCUAUAAGUGACAACCGUGCAAAACAGGAGCUGACAAGUAGCUAUAUGAAAUGUAUAACAUGAUACUGCACCAAACAGAAUAUGAACACACAAGUAAUUAUCAGACUCAAAAACUGCUGAAAUUAUUAGUUGUACUUAUCACUCUUCCAGCCAAAGGGUUGGGGUAUGAGGUCCAAGGCAACUAACAUUCUCCAUAAUGUUAUGCACAGUGAUGAAAUUCAGCUCAACCAUUCAAAGAUCUAAGAAAAGAACCUUGAGCUUUCAUCAUCUAAUACUAUUAACCCAUGUUUGAAACACUAACCAUAUGCAUACUUGUCAGAGGAAAAUUAGGACCAAGAAAAGAAGGAGCCAUCACAUAUACAGCAAAGCAAGUAAACAAGAUAAGAAAAUGAAAGAAAAUAAGUGGGAUAUUUUGUAAAUAUAUACAAGAGAGACAUAUAAUAGUAUCUUGCAUAAUUAUCCUUCAACCCCAUAGACUUGGCAUUUUCAGGCAAUUAUUCAGUUUUUAUGGAUCUCCUGAUGUUUAAAAGCUACUUAAUAGUUCUUCCUUUUAUUUUACCUCUUUUUUUUUUUCAGCUUGCUAUCUUGUAUUCAUCUCCUAGGCCUAGGAUGCACCCACUUUUCACAUUUUCUAAUAAAAAUUUUCCUUAUCCAGAAAAAAAUGGAUUGCAGUUCCAUUAAUUAUAACAAAUCAUUCUGAAAAAAAUCCAAGAAAGUUUUAUCUUUACUAACAUCAGAAUGCUCAUGCUUAAAGUGGACAAUAGAUCAUUAUAAUGUCCCAGCAAGGUCCCAAGGUACAAAUGGGGGAAAAAGUAAUAGUUAAACCAGAAAAUAUUAUACCUAGCAGCCAAUCCAACACAAACAGUGGAUACAUCAGGUCGGAUAUGCCUCAUUGUGUCAAAUAUCGCCAUGCCAGCUGUAACUGAUCCUCCUGGAGAAUUUACAUACAUUACAAUAUCCUGUGUCCAUGAAAAAGAAUGUGCCAUCUAGUAAAUCUUUUGGACAAUUUCUUUAAAAUUUACAAAUUGUGUUAAGAGUAAUAUCAAUUCACAUGAUUUUGUGUUCACGUGUGUGCCAGAGAGAACUGAAAUUUGAAGGGCUAUCAUGAAACACAAAUAUUAGCAGUUUUCAUUUUCUCUGAAAAGACAUUUUCAUUGUCCAAAACAGAGACAAGACAUCAGCAGCUGUACAAGGACAUAAACAAACCUUAUUAGGAUCAACUGCAUCAAGAUAGAGAAGUUGAGCAACAAUAAUGUUUGCCAUGUCAUCAUCAACAGCUCCACCACAGCGUAUAAUUCUGUAUUGAAAAAGCUGACUAAUAACACUCUGGAAUCUCUCAUGCACCAUUGGAGGUGGCCCUUGUGCUUGACCUUGCCCGUUAGCGUAUGCAGGGAAGUAAGGUGAUGAUGGGAUUUCCAAAUCAUCCCUUAUUGACCAGAUCCCUCGUCGAGAACUUUUCUCAGGUGCCCAAAACUCACCAGAGUAAACAGCCUUUGCUGAAGACAGCUGAAAAUUCUUUCUACUGCUACUACUACUACUUCUACUUAACUUUCUCAAUUUUCUGGAAUGAAGUGGCUCGAAGGGGAGAGAAGACUUCUGAGAAUCAAGAGUGGUGCUAGGGUUUGGAGAGAAGACGAAGGAACUGAAUCUUAGAGAGGAGGCCGAGGAGGAGACCAAUAAGCGUGCCAUUUGUCGCCGAUUACUUCUUGACACAGCCCGAACAAGUAUUAAAUUGGUUAUGCUGUUUUAGGUUAAAAUUUUAGCGCCUUAUCCUAUUAAGUUUUAGGGCUCGACGGCUCUCAAUUUGGGAGGCGAUA
This 3260-nucleotide unclassified non-coding RNA is filed under the name Hevea brasiliensis (rubber tree). Lineage: Eukaryota; Viridiplantae; Streptophyta; Magnoliopsida; Malpighiales; Euphorbiaceae. The record is from RNAcentral.